This 251-nucleotide ribosomal RNA is filed under the name uncultured soil bacterium. RNAcentral's name for it is "partial 16S ribosomal RNA". It matches the Rfam family "Bacterial small subunit ribosomal RNA", at positions 26 to 287 of the family's 1533-position model. The record is from RNAcentral.
AGGACGAACGCUGGCGGCGUGCUUAACACAUGCAAGUCAAGGGGGCCCAGCAAUGGGCAACCGGCGAACGGGUGCGUAACACGUGAGCAACCUACCGAACUGUGGGGGAUAGCCGGCCUAACGGCCGAGUAAUACCGCAUACGCUCUCAGAGAGGCAUUUCUUUGAGAGGAAACCUACGGGACAGAUCGAGGGGCUCGCGGCCUAUCAGCUAGUUGGCGAGGUAACGCUCACCAAGGCAACGACGGGUAGC